RNAcentral lists this ribosomal RNA (960 nucleotides) under uncultured Neocallimastigales. RNAcentral's name for it is "partial large subunit ribosomal RNA". The stretch from base 179 to 960 matches the Rfam family "Eukaryotic large subunit ribosomal RNA", at positions 1 to 647 of the family's 3401-position model. Lineage: Eukaryota; Fungi; Neocallimastigomycota; Neocallimastigomycetes; Neocallimastigales. The record is from RNAcentral.
CUAUACAUGACUCUGCGCAUAUCAAUAAGCGGAGGAAAAGGCUGCGGAACUGAACGACCGCUACCUACGCUUAGGAUGUUGACGAGACUGUCGAUCUCAUCUAUACAUGACUCUGCGCAUAUCAAUAAGCGGAGGAAAAGAGGGCUAUUACCUACGCUUAGGAUGUUGACGAGACUGUCGAUCUCAUCUAUACAUGACUCUGCGCAUAUCAAUAAGCGGAGGAAAAGAAACUAACAAGGAUUCCCUUAGUAACGGCGAGUGAAGCGGGAAGAGCUCAAAUUUGAAAUCUUCAAGGUUCUACCUUGACGAAUUGUAGUUUAUAGAAGUGUUUUCUGUUAGUAGAGUGGCAAAAGUUCUUUGGAAUAGGACAUCAUAGAGGGUGAGAAUCCCGUAUUUGGUCAUUCUUUCUAGCUUUGUGAUACACUUUCAACGAGUCGGAUUGUUUGGGAAUGCAGUCCAAAAUGGGUGGUAAAUUUCAUCUAAAGCUAAAUAUUGGCGAGAGACCGAUAGCGAACAAGUACCGUGAGGGAAAGAUGAAAAGAACUUUGAAAAGAGAGUUAAACAGUACGUGAAAUUGUCAAAAGGGAAGCGUUUGACACCAGUGUUGUUUUUCCGAAAAUCAAUUACGAAUGUUUUGUUUUUGAGGAGUUAUGACUUCAUCGGCUUGCUCCUUUCUUUACGAAACUUUCUUAAUGCACUUUUCGGUUAACAAGUCAACAUCAAUUUCUUUUGUUGUAAAAGGGUAUGAGGAAGGUGGCUUUCUUUUCGGAGAAAGUGUUUAUAGCCUUGUGCCUCUGCAAUCGGAGAGAUUGAGGUCUGCAGCGUAGAUCCUUCGGGUUAGAUACGUUUGUGCUAAGUUAUAGCUUUUCAUAGACAACUUGUUGACUAUGUUUAGUCUUGUAGCUUACUCGCUGACGCUAUUUUACCUACGCUUAGGAUGUUGACGAGACUGUCGAUCUC